This 253-nucleotide ribosomal RNA is filed under the name uncultured bacterium. RNAcentral's name for it is "partial 16S ribosomal RNA". It matches the Rfam family "Bacterial small subunit ribosomal RNA", at positions 524 to 776 of the family's 1533-position model. The record is from RNAcentral.
UACAGAGGCCUCGAGCGUUAGGCGGAAUCACUGGGCUUAAAGCGUGUGUAGGAGGACUUCUAAGUACCUUGUGAAAUCCCACGGCUCAACCGUGGAACUGCUCGGUAUACUGGUUGUCUUGAGCCAUCUAGGGGCGAGCGGAACAAGUGGUGGAGCGGUGAAAUGCGUAGAUAUCACUUGGAACGCCAACGGUGAAAACAGCUCGCUGGGGAUGUGCUGACGCUGAGACACGAAAGCCAGGGGAGCGAACGGG